This 46-nucleotide ribosomal RNA is filed under the name Fusarium sp. OTU1100. RNAcentral's name for it is "partial 28S ribosomal RNA". Lineage: Eukaryota; Fungi; Ascomycota; Sordariomycetes; Hypocreales; Nectriaceae. The record is from RNAcentral.
ACCUCGAAUCAGGUAGGAAUACCCGCUGAACUUAAGCAUAUCAAAG